GGUGGAGUUCUUUUAUGCGUUAAAUACUUGUAUUUGCGCAUAUUCCUCCUAUUUAAUCCUGCUUCAGUGCUCUUCACCGAGUGUUCUUGUGGGCCGGUACAAUUACUUUGAACAAAUUAGAGUGCUUAAAGCAGGCUUCAAAUGCCUGAAUGUUUUGUGCUUGGAAUAAUGAAAUAAGCCUCUACCUACAAUCUACAACCAAUGAAAGUAGAACUUUCAUUGGUUGUUAGAUCAACAGGUAAUGGAUAAUAAAAGCAGUUUGGGGGCAUAAGUAUUACGACGUGAGAGGUGAAAUUCUUGGACCGUCGUACUACAAACUUAAGGGAAAGCAUUUGCCANUUAAUUUUUUCUU
Stomoxys calcitrans (stable fly) is the source of this 352-nucleotide non-coding RNA. The record is from Rfam. NCBI's taxonomy places the organism in Eukaryota, Metazoa, Arthropoda, Insecta, Diptera, Muscidae.